This 433-nucleotide ribosomal RNA is filed under the name uncultured bacterium. RNAcentral's name for it is "partial 16S ribosomal RNA". It matches the Rfam family "Bacterial small subunit ribosomal RNA", at positions 29 to 507 of the family's 1533-position model. The record is from RNAcentral.
AACGAACGCUGGCGGCAUGCCUAACACAUGCAAGUCGAACGAAACCUUCGGGUCUAGUGGCGCACGGGUGCGUAACGCGUGGGAACCUGCCCUUAGGUUCGGAAUAACUCCCCGAAAGGGGUGCUAAUACCGGAUAAUGUCUUCGGACCAAAGAGUUAUGGCCUUUGGAUGGGCCCGCGUUGGAUUAGCUAGUUGGUAGGGUAAAAGCCUACCAAGGCGACGAUCCAUGGCUGGUCGGAGAGGAUGACCAGCCACACUGGGACUGAGACACGGCCCAGACUCCGACGGGAGGCAGCAGUGGGGAAUAUUGGACAAUGGGCGAAAGCCUGAUCCAGCCAUGCCGCGUGAGUGAUGAAGGCCUUAGGGUUGUAAAGCUCUUUUACCCGGGAUGAUAAUGACAGUACCGGGAGAAUAAGCUCCGGCUAACUCCGUG